AACGUAGGAGGCGAGCGUUAUCCGGAUUUACUGGGCGUAAAGCGCACGCAGGCGGCUUGGCAAGUUGGAUGUGAAAGCUCCUGGCUUAACUGGGAGAGGCCAUUCGAGACUGCCAGGCUUGAGGUUGGGAGAGGGGUAUGGAAUUCCCGGUGUAGUGGUGGAAUGCGUAGAUAUCGGGAGGAACACCAGUGGCGAAGGCGGUACCCUGGCCCACACCUGACGCUGAUGUGCGAAAGCGUGGGGAG
This 245-nucleotide ribosomal RNA is filed under the name uncultured bacterium. RNAcentral describes it as "partial 16S ribosomal RNA". It matches the Rfam family "Bacterial small subunit ribosomal RNA", at positions 524 to 768 of the family's 1533-position model. The record is from RNAcentral.